RNAcentral lists this ribosomal RNA (162 nucleotides) under uncultured bacterium. Its description in RNAcentral is "partial 16S ribosomal RNA". It matches the Rfam family "Bacterial small subunit ribosomal RNA", at positions 355 to 534 of the family's 1533-position model. The record is from RNAcentral.
UGAGGAAUAUUGGUCAAUGGGCGCAAGCCUGACCCAGCAACGCCGCGUGAAGGAAGAAGGCUUUCGGUUGUAAACUUCUUUUCUCAGGGACGAAGCAAGUGACGGUACCUGAGGAAUAAGCCACGGCUAACUACGUGCCAGCAGCCGNGGUAAUCGAGAUCU